RNAcentral lists this ribosomal RNA (465 nucleotides) under uncultured bacterium. RNAcentral's name for it is "partial 16S ribosomal RNA". It matches the Rfam family "Bacterial small subunit ribosomal RNA", at positions 28 to 504 of the family's 1533-position model. The record is from RNAcentral.
GACGAACGCUGGCGGCGUGCUUAACACAUGCAAGUCGAACGGAAAGGCCCUGCUUUUGUGGGGUGCUCGAGUGGCGAACGGGUGAGUAACACGUGAGUAACCUGCCCUUGACUUUGGGAUAACUUCAGGAAACUGGGGCUAAUACCGGAUAGGAGCUCCUGCUGCAUGGUGGGGGUUGGAAAGUUUCGGCGGUUGGGGAUGGACUCGCGGCUUAUCAGCUUGUUGGUGGGGUAGUGGCUUACCAAGGCUUUGACGGGUAGCCGGCCUGAGAGGGUGACCGGCCACAUUGGGACUGAGAUACGGCCCAGACUCCUACGGGAGGCAGCAGUGGGGAAUAUUGCACAAUGGGCGGAAGCCUGAUGCAGCAACGCCGCGUGCGGGAUGAUGGCCUUCGGGUUGUAAACCGCUUUCGCCUGUGACGAAGCGUGAGUGACGGUAAUGGGUAAAGAAGCACCGGCUAACUAC